This 139-nucleotide ribosomal RNA is filed under the name uncultured bacterium. RNAcentral's name for it is "partial 16S ribosomal RNA". It matches the Rfam family "Bacterial small subunit ribosomal RNA", at positions 355 to 509 of the family's 1533-position model. The record is from RNAcentral.
UGGGGAAUAUUGCACAAUGGGGGAAACCCGUGAUGCAGCGACGCCGCGUGAAGGAAGAAGUAUUUCGGUUAUGUAAACUUCUAUCAGCAGGGAAGAAAAUGACGGUACCUGACUAAGAAGCCCCGGCUAACUACGUGCC